Molecule: unclassified non-coding RNA, 6778 nt
Filed under: Megachile rotundata (alfalfa leafcutting bee)
Lineage: Eukaryota; Metazoa; Arthropoda; Insecta; Hymenoptera; Megachilidae
Description: serine/threonine-protein kinase 10, transcript variant X10
Source: RNAcentral
UUUUAUUGUCAAUGUUAUGUAUACAUUUAUAAGCAUUAUUGAAAUAUAGACAUGAUGUUUUGAGGGCGAAAUAUGUACAUAUACAAAGUUACUUGCGCUAUUGAUAUAGACGUACAUAUAUAUAGGUUUUUUCAUAUGUACAUAGUUUAGUAAUUCUGUUAAUGUAGUGAUUGGUAAAUUUGUUGAUAAUACGAAUAACUGGUGAAAUUGUGUAAAGGAAAGAAUUUAAUGGAUUGUCGGUGGUUAUAAACCGAGACGAAGUGUGCCCAUUUCGUUAACGGUGGAUCAUUAAAAGAGAAGCUUUAUUACGCUAUAAGUGAAAAUAGAAGACUUUUAAUAAUGGGCUUUGUUAUUUACAUGUACACUGCUAUUUAUUCAAACAAAAUAUCUAUCAAUUAGCGUGUACUGAUUAUCAAUUAUCAAGAUGCGGGAGAGGUUUGGUAUAAUCCCCUGGUGUCGAACGGGGAUUUAAACAAAAUCUUUUACUUAGAAUACUUUCUAUUGUAUUAGAAAAUACGUUAAAAUAAUGGAAAAUAUGCGAGAUCAUAGUUAAAAGAGAAGAUGAUUUUAUGCAUCUUAUAAUUGUUUUGUGUAACAAUCAAUUAUUUGAUUACUGCAUAAGAUUUGUGUUUAAGUGCAGUAUUAAAAUAGAUAUUUGUUAUUAAUAAUAAAUACUAUUGAGUCAUAUAACAUAAUGUAAUAAAAGCAUAGCUUUUAUACACAAGAAAAUAUAUAUCGAAUAAGUAUUACAAAAAUGUCAUUCUUAUCAAAUCUAAAGAAAGCGUUCCACUUUGGUGGUAACGAUGCAAAGAAAAAGAAGCUAUAUAAUAAUAUCAAAAUGGAUUGUAACCCAGAAGAAUUCUGGGAAAUGGUGGGAGAACUGGGAGAUGGUGCUUUUGGCAAAGUUUAUAAGGCACAGCACAGACAAACUCAUCAACUUGCUGCUGCAAAAAUGUGUGCACUAGAGGGAGAAGAUGAUCUUAGUGAUUUUAUGAUCGAAAUAGAUAUUUUAUCAGAAUGUAAACAUCCAAAUGUCGUUGAAUUACACGAAGCAUAUUUCAUUGAGGGCAAGCUAUGGAUGUUAAUAGAAUAUUGUGAUGGUGGUGCUGUUGAUUCCAUAAUGGUUGAAUUACAAAAAGCUUUAACUGAACCACAAAUAGCCUACAUAUGUCACCAUAUGACCAAAGGUCUUGCAUUUUUACAUAAAUCUAAGGUUAUUCACAGGGAUUUAAAAGCAGGAAAUGUUUUAUUAACAAUGGCUGGAGGAGUAAAAUUAGCCGAUUUUGGAGUGUCCGCAAAAAACAAACAUACCUUACAAAAACAUGAUACAUUUAUUGGUACACCAUAUUGGAUGGCCCCAGAAGUAGUAUUAUGCGAAACAUUCAGAGAUAAUCCAUACGAUUUUAAAGUAGACAUUUGGUCACUUGGUAUAACUUUAAUAGAAUUUGCGCAAAUGGAACCACCUAAUCACGAAAUGUCACCAAUGCGUGUGCUUCUUAAAAUACAAAAAAGUGAUCCACCAAAGCUCGAUCAACCUGGAAAGUGGAGCAAAGAAUUUAACGAUUUUAUUGCUAAGGCUCUUAUAAAGGAUCCAACAUCGCGACCUACGGCUGACGAAUUGUUGAAACAUCCAUUCAUAAAUCGGAAUUUGGAUUCAAAACCAAUUAGGGAUUUGCUACUAGAAUACAAAGCCGACGUUGUCGAAGAGGAACUGGUUGACGAAGAAGCAGAGGAGCAACGCACGUCACAGCUUCCACUGGAGCUAGAUCAACUCGGAGAUGACUCUGCGUCUAUGCGCAGUGACGCUGAUGUUAAGAUUUCUGACAAAGAAAAUCUUGUUGCAUCGUCUGUGUCUGCCAAAAAAGAAGAAACCCAUAAACGAGAAAUGAACAGAGAUGGCGAAAAAGAUGACAGGAACAAGAAAUUACGUAAAGCAGAAUCUAAAGACAACAUACCUAUUUCUGUUGAAAAGAAACAAGCACCGAAACCACCUAGUACAAAUGAAACAAAUGAACGUAGAGUAUCUCGGGAGAAAGGUCCUGCACCUCCUCCACCGCUUAUGCGUCAAAAUAGUAAAAGCGAAGACAAGGAAAAUCAUUUGAAAAUUAUCGAUAAACCAAGCGAUACAGAAACAUUAGAUGAAUGUAAAAUUACCGAUAAACAGCGAGAUAAAACUGAAUUACUGCCGAGUCAAGAAACUCUAGACAGGAGGGAAGAAACGAACUUAGAAACGUUUUCCGAGAAACCAAACGUGACUGAUAGUUUAGAAAAGACCACAACAGAGAAUAAUCAAAGGGAGAAGAAUAAUUUAGACAAUGCUAAGAAGGUCGAUGUUAGACAAAAGUCCAUAGAUGAUAAAGUAAAUUCAUCUUUGAAGCCGCAGUUAACGCUAGAAGAGAAGAGGAAAUCUGCACCGGUUAAAUCCGAGGUGUCCGAAGAUUGGAUGAAACCAGUAUUUAGUAAGCAAUCAUCUUUAGAAGAAAAGAAUAGAAUUGACAUGAAAGCAGCGAUCGACGAACGAACGGACAAACAGAGUUUACCGGAAGAGAACUAUAAAAGCUUACAGGAAAAACGAAAAUCCGUAGAGGAAAAGUUGAAUGCCGUUUUAGAAAAACGAUUUUCAAUGGACACCGAAAUGCGGUUGAGUGUUUCUUCCAUGGAAAUGUUACCGCACCGAGAAGUACCAAAGGCAACUUCGUCCGAGAAGAAUAUUAUCAAAGCCUGUUCUACGGAAAAUGUCAAAACCGAUUAUGGAACUUGUAAAACAGAAACUGUCGUUAAAAGUCAUAGCGAAGGAUCUUCCAGAUACGACUCGCUGGAGAACUUCUCGGAUGAAUCCGAUGGGAAACAAGACAAAAAGAAGUGGUUAAGCAAAGAACGUAGUUACGAGAACAUUGCGAACAACGAGAGUCCGAAUCGUGAAAAGAAAGGUUCGUCCGUGAACGUAUCAGUGAUUACAUCGACGCCCAUCAGGAGUAGAAGCACAUCAAGAAGAGGAAGCGGCGAUAACGUAGUUGUCAUAACCGGUAAAUCCGAGCAAGAAGUACGUCCAAAUACAUCAACCGUUCGGAUCACAGCGGACAGUCCAGAUUUAUCUAAUAGCUUAGCGAGUAACGUGAGUCAAGUAACAGUCGUAACGACGCAUCCUCCGGUACUCGUCGAUGCCGUGUCACCAGCACCUCUUUCGUGUCGUCCAUCUCCAACUUCGGAAGUGGUGAUCGUCGCGAACGAAUUAAACAAGACGCAAGUGAACGAGAGUUCAACCGAUGACGACGGAUUUCCUAGUCUGGAUAGUUUAGAGUACACGCCUCAGGAGCAGCCUAUAAUUCUUACCGACAUCUCCAAGAGAGUCGGCAAGAAGUUGGACGAGUCCGAAGUUCUGAUCGUGAGUCCAAUCGUAGACGAAUUACAGGAUACUAGUCAUGUUUCCGUCGUUACCGUUGGCGAAGACAAGGAACAAGUGAAAGAUUCGUCGGUACUUAAUACACACGAUACUCUACGAACGUCUUCCACUCGCGUUGACGCGAACUCGAUCGAAAGGUCGAGCACGAAAAGCGACAGUGGCGAUGAAAUUACUAAAAUGAUAGUCGCUGGAACGACUGUCGAAUCCACGGACGCUGACGAGAUGGAGAGAAACUCCAAGAAGAUGAACGGUAUGAUAAAGAACGACAAGUCCUCCGUUGGUCGCAUCGACGAGAAGACGAUAAAAACGAUGAAACAGAAGGAAGUCGCUAAAGGUUACAAGGAGAAGAGAGUAUCUCCGGACAGUUUCGAGGGAUCCAGAUCUCACAGCGAGUCCGGCUCGACGAGGUCGCAUACUCCGAGCAAGAGCAUCGAUCGUUCCGACGCCGAGUCUAUUUCCACGACGAUCAGUCAGGACAGCAGAGAAUCCAGCAAAGAGAAUCACUUGAAUCAAAGUCAGCCCACGGAAGUGGAAGAGGAAGUGGUAUUACGACGAAAGCCAGAUUACAAUCGCGACAUACAGCGACCGACGAAAACAAAAGAGGACGUGGCUAUGAUGAAUCUGAAGAAAAAGACGAGGAAACGAACCAGGAAGUUCGAGAUCGAUGGUGUGGUAGUCACCACGACGACUUCGAAGGUGAUCUAUGGCGACGACGAGAACGGCAAGGUGUACGACGAUCAAAUAUUCAGGAAACAAGAGCUGCGAGAGUUGAAGAUGUUACAAAAGAUGGAGCAGAAGCAAUUUCAAGAUCUGUCGCAGAAGGCGCAGUUCAACAAGGAUCAACAAGAGAAACGUUUCGAACAAGAAAGGCAGCUUCUCGAACGAAACGCCGAGACGGACUUGGAGAGCCUCGCUCGACAGCAGAGACAGCAGAUCGAGCGAGCCGAGGCGCAACAGGAGGCUGAUCUGAGGCUGGCUUCGAAGAAGAUUCGCAGCGAGCAAGAAAGGGAACUGAAACUGUUCCGUGAAGGAUUGAAGCAAGAAUUGAGAUUGCUCAAGCAAGAGGUGGAUUUAAUGCCAAAAGACAAGAGGAAAAGCGCGUUCAAGAUACGUAAAGAGAAACUGGAGGCGGAACACGAGGAAAGGGAGAAGCACUUUUUGGACAAGCUCAACGAAAGUCACGAAUUAUCGUUGAGAAGAUUGUCGGAUAGUCAUCGCGAGAAGAUAGCGUUGAUGGAAAGGCAGUUCUUACAGCAGAAGCAACAGCUGAUGAGAGCUCGAGAGGCUGCCAUCUGGGAGCAAGAAGAGCGACACAUUCACGAGAAGCAACAACUGCUGAAGAAGCAGUUGAAGGAUAUUUUCUUCCUGCAGAGACACCAGAUGUUGAUACGUCACGAGAAGGAAUUAGAACAAAUGAAGAGGAUGAAUCAACGGAAAGAGGAGGAGCUGAUCAAGCGACAGAACGUGGAGCGUCGAAACUUACCGAAAAGGAUUCGCAACGAGAUGAAGGCUCGCGAGAUGAUGUUCCGCGAGUCGAUGAGAAUCUCGAUGUCGACGGUGAUAGCGCCGGAUCCCGACGCUGAGAGAGAGAAACUGAAGAAGUUCCAAGAGAACGAGAAGAAACGAUACAGAGCGGAGCAGCAGAGAUCCGAGUUGAAGCAUUCGCGGCAGCUGGAGGAGGUAAGAGCGCAAAGCGAAGCGACUAUUAAAGAAUUGGAACAAUUGCAGAACGAGAAACGAAAGAUGCUGAUGGAGCACGAAACGCUGAAGCUGAAGGAGCUGGAAGAGGCGUACGGCAAGGAGCUUCGCGAAUGGAAGGCGCAACUCAAGCCUCGAAAGCAGAAGUUAGAAGCUGAGCUGACGUCUGAAACGGAAGCAUUGGAAGCUCGCUACCGCGACUAUUUGCCCUCGCCUGUUAGUGGUCUCUCUUCUCCUCCUUUAGACUAUUCUCUCUUUAAUUUCGAAUGCUGGAAGAAGUCGCCGCGUUUGCCACGUUCCACUCCUGCGUCUCCAUCUCCGUUCACCAUUCCAAGAGUGUCGCUGAGAGUCGGCAGUUCAGACACCAGUUCCGUCAAUGGCAUGUUUCCACGAAGUCACUCGAAACCGGACCUAGUGCCAUCUCCUUCUCGUAGAUAGUCUACUGUUGUGUCCCUCUCCAAUCUUUCCAAUCUCCCCCUCCUUUUUUUGUUUGUUUAAGCUUUGAAAUAAAAAAUAGUACACUGCUUUUCUCUCGAGAAAAGUGCUCGAAGAUUUCUUUUUCCAUGAACUUUUUUAUUUCAAAGCUCUUGAAUUGUGUUUUAUGGCAUUCAAGCGUAACAUACCCGCUUUACUCACCGUAGCUUUUUCGUUAUUUAGCCGUGUUUAUUUUGUUAAAUGCUCUGUAUUGCAUUCCCAUACAUGUGUAUACAUACAUACAUACAUACAUACAUGUACACACGUUUAACGUAUAUUUUACGUAACCAACCAGUAUAUGUAUCCUAUAUUGUUUUGGGUUCGCACGGAAUAACACUUGAGACAGUAACAAUAUAUUACAAUAGGUAACCUGUUAAUUUAUAACAUUCUACUAAGGAUAGUCGCAACUUGGGAACAAAAAUUUGGCAAGUAUGUACACGUGUAUAUAAAUAUACCAGCUGUAAAGCAAUAGGGGCUUAUCCGUCGAAUCGUGUAUACAGUUUGUGAAACAUUUCGAACUUUAUCGUCGGAAACAUGUGCACCGUUACAGUUACGAUGUUGCAGGUUUAUCCACGUCCACGUACAUGUACAGAAGAGCGCUCGUAAAGUUUCCAUCGAGGAUGAAGCAACAUAGGAUCGUCUAAUUGCAAUCGUUUCAGAAUCGGCUGUGUAAAUAACGAUAUAAAGGGAUGGCUGGUACGCAAAACAUUAUCGAAUGAUCAUACGUAAAUCCUAGGUUGCUUUCCGCCACCGAUGCCACUUUACGUAGACUCUUUUGUUUAAUCAGUUACUUUUCGUUCAUUGUCUCGUCGAUAACAACGCGUAAUCAUCGUGUCCCGACAACACCGGCUUCUUACUUAAACGAUCAGGCGUAACAGGGUGAAUCGGUGGUAAUCGUGGGCUGUAUGUUGUAUACUUAUCGAACAUAGCGAAAAGUAAUGGUAAAUGCUUUGAACGCAUCAGGGGUUUUUAUUGUAUAAAUGUUUCCAAUGUGUACGUUAGACCGUGUCCCCUUACGUGUUCUAUUUCCCUAUAAAAUACCUAAGAAACUGUAUGUCGGGAAAGAGAUUCCACGACUGGAUAUCAGAACGAUCUACUAGGUAAUGAACCAGAAAUUGGAAGAGCAGUUCGCUUUACAAUUAGAGGAACAAGAAGCAAUUUACGGGCCAAGCGCCAUACCGCUGUGCUUGCCAGCAGAUCUUC